UGGCAAGCAGUAAAGGGCACAUGGUGGAUGCCUUGGCAUCAAGAGCCGAUGAAGGACGUUGGAGCCUGCGAUAAGCCCUGGGGAGUUGGCAACCGAGCUGUGAUCCGGGGGUGUCCGAAUGGGGAAACCUGGCUGGAGUCAUGUCCAGUCAUCUCCGUCUGAAUGAAAUAGGGCGGUAGAGGGGAACGCGGGGAAGUGAAACAUCUCAGUACCCGUAGGAAGAGAAAACAAUAGUGAUUCCGAGAGUAGUGGCGAGCGAAAUCGGAUGAGGCCAAACCAGGGUCGUGUGAUACCCGGCAGGGGUUGCGGUUCUGGGGUUGUGGGAGUGUUUGUCAUGCGUCUGCCGGCGUGUGGGGCAGUAAGAAAGUGUGGUUGAAGUUGAAGUCCGUUGGAAAGCGGCGCCGUAGAGGGUGAUAGCCCCGUAGUCGUAGGAUCAUGCCUGCCUAUAGCACAUCCCAAGUAACACGCCACCCCUGAAAUGGUGUGUGAAUCUGGCGGGACCACCCGUUAAGCCUAAAUACUUCUUGAUGACCGAUAGCGGACUAGUACCGUGAGGGAAAGGUGAAAAGUACCCCUGGCGGGGAGUGAAAUAGUACCUGAAACCGUGUGCCUACAAUCCGUCAGAGCCCAGCCACCCUGUAGCCGUAUGGGGAGUGGGGGUGAUGGCGUGCCUUUUGAAGAAUGAGCCUGCGAGUUUGCGGUGUGUUGCGAGGUUAACCCGUGUGGGGUAGCCGUAGCGAAAGCGAGUCCUAAUAGGGCGUUUCAGUAGCGCGCUCAAGACCCGAAGCGGAGUGAUCUAUCCAUGGGCAGGUUGAAGCGCGGGUAAGACCGCGUGGAGGACCGAACCCACUUAGGUUGAAAACUGAGGGGAUGACCUGUGGAUAGGGGUGAAAGGCCAAUCAAACUCCGUGAUAGCUGGUUCUCCCCGAAAUGCAUUUAGGUGCAGCGUUGUGUGUUUCUUGCCGGAGGUAGAGCACUGGAUAGCCGAUGGGCCCGACCAGGUUACUGACGUUAGCCAAACUCCGAAUGCCGGUAAGUGAGAGCGCAGCAGUGAGACGGCGGGGGAUAAGCUCCGUCGUCGAGAGGGAAACAGCCCAGACCAUCAGCUAAGGCCCCUAAGCGGUGACUAAGUGGAAAAGGAUGUGGAGUCGCAGUGACAACCAGGAGGUUGGCUUGGAAGCAGCCACCCUUGAAAGAGUGCGUAAUAGCUCACUGGUCAAGUGAUUCCGCGCCGACAAUGUAGCGGGGCUCAAGUCAUCCGCCGAAGCUAUGGCAUUCACACUGUCUUUGAUGACGUGCUGGCCACUGGGUGGUUGGUUGUGUGGGUGGGUAGGGGAGCGUCGUGUCGCGGGUGAAGCUCCGGAGUGAUCCAGGGGUGGAUGCGACACGAGUGAGAAUGCAGGCAUGAGUAGCGAAUCACGGGUGAGAAACCCGUGCGCCGAAUGAUCAAGGGUUCCAGGGUCAAGCUAAUCUGCCCUGGGUAAGUCGGGACCUAAGGCGAGGCCGACAGGCGUAGUCGAUGGACAACGGGUUGAUAUUCCCGUACCGGCAAUGUAGCGCCCAUGACGAGCCCGGUGAUGCUAACCAUCCGAAGCCACGCUUAUCGAUCCCUUCGGGGUGAGAGGGUGUGGGGGAGCGUGGGAUCCGAUCCGGUAGUAGUCAAGCGAUGGGGUGACGCAGGAAGGUAGCCCAGCCCGGGCGAUGGUUGUCCCGGGGUAAGCGUGUAGGACGUGGCCUAGGCAAAUCCGGGCUGCUGACUUUGAUGUCGAGUUUGAGACGUGAUGCCGACCCCGUAUGGGGGAAGUGGGUGAUCCUAUGCUGUCAAGAAAAACCUCUAGCGAGCUAUGCGCCGCCCGUACCCCAAACCGACUCAGGUGAUCAGGUAGAGAAUACCAAGGCGAUCGAGUGAACCAUGGUUAAGGAACUCGGCAAAAUGCCCCCGUAACUUCGGGAGAAGGGGGACCCGAACCGUCAACACCCUUGCGGUGGGUAGCGGGGAGGGUCGCAGAGACCAGGCCCAAGCGACUGUUUACUAAAAACACAGGUCCGUGCGAAGUUGUAAGACGAUGUAUACGGACUGA
Molecule: ribosomal RNA, 2081 nt
Filed under: Nocardioidaceae bacterium
Lineage: Bacteria; Bacillati; Actinomycetota; Actinomycetes; Propionibacteriales; Nocardioidaceae
Description: partial 23S ribosomal RNA
Rfam family: Bacterial large subunit ribosomal RNA
Source: RNAcentral